UGUUGCUUCACCCACCACCACACCGCCGCCCCACGCCCUACUCACCACCACCUCUUGGCCACCGAACCACCACCACCUACCGCUCGUCCGACGAGCCAUGUUGCCGUUGAGCCCGACAAGCUGUCACGCCGUCCGCGUCGCCCCUCGCCGCCGUGAGCCACCGCCGCCGUCCCCAAACCACCGUCACCACCUCUUGCCGCCGCUCGCUUGGUCGUCUGGGCCGUCAUUGCUCCGAACCGCCACCGCCUCCGUUUGAACCGAGCUCUUCCUCCCUUGGCCGUGGGUUGAGCCGCGACCGCCGCCGUCUUCGCCGCGCCGUCCGUGCCGUCGUUGGUGCCGUGAGUCUCGUGUCUUCUUCGCCGUCGCUGGACCUCCCUUGACACCAUCGCUGGACGCCGUCACCCCUCGCUUGCCUCGCCGCUCAGCCGCUUGACGUCGACGACACCGUUGGACGCCGCUCGUCCCCCUAGUGGAGGCUGCUCGCUCGCCUAGCCGCCCCGACACUGCUCGCCGCUCGCCUAAUAUGGUUUAUCAUCGAGGAGUUUUGAACAAGAAGCACCACUCUCCAUCACUGAGCAACGAAGUGUGGCGUUUAAAGAAAGUAGCCAAAGACGGUGCUCUACAUAAACGCAUGAUUUCAAGAGGAAUCAAUACUGUUCAAGAUUUCCUCCAGUUGUACGAAGCUGAUGCAUCCUCUCUGAGAAAUGUAGCAACCAUUUCUCUUCUAGCCGUGCUAAUUUCCCCUUUUCUGUACACGUUAUUUAAGCAUUGUUGACCAUCAAAUCCACUACUUCUUGUGUGAUGCAAUGUUAUUUAAGAUAUUUGGCGAUCGGGUUGCAAACGGAAUGGUGAAAGUGGCUCAAGCAACACUUGAUGGCCAAACUUACCAGUCGCUAGAUCAAUUGACCCACUCUCAGAAGGUACAUAAAGCAUAGCCAGAAACUUUCAUAUCAAGCAGUAGAUUGUCAAACUAUGUGGAGCUACAGAAGGGCUUGUAUGUAUCGUUCUUGUCCAUACAUAUACCACAAUCACUUCACUUAAAA
Molecule: long non-coding RNA, 1043 nt
Organism: Eucalyptus grandis
Lineage: Eukaryota; Viridiplantae; Streptophyta; Magnoliopsida; Myrtales; Myrtaceae
Exons: 2
Source: RefSeq, a predicted model, not a curated record